Molecule: long non-coding RNA, 18077 nt
Organism: Falco peregrinus (peregrine falcon)
Lineage: Eukaryota; Metazoa; Chordata; Aves; Falconiformes; Falconidae
Exons: 5
Source: RefSeq, a predicted model, not a curated record
AUGUCUGGUGCAGGAAAGGUUAGUAGAUUUAACAAGAAGGCAUUAAAAAUUGAUUUAAUAGAGCAGUAGCCUGGACUUCAGUAUGUAGCAUAAUUUCAGCAUUGCUCCAGGGUAAGUAUUCGAUUUUUACUUUUUUUUUUUUUUCUUUUUUUUUUUUUCAUUCCAUACUAAAUGAAACAGAUGCCUCUCAAUACACUUCUUUGGUAAACACACUCUGAGAAUCCUCCAUCCAAUUGUAAGUGAUUAUAUGGCUAAAAAUGCAGUCUGUAAUAGAGAAAACAGAUGCAGUGAUAAUUAUCCCCGUGCCCUGCACAUCAAACAUUAACUAUUGAUGGUGGAAGAAAAGAAGAAACCAAAACAGUGGGAUGUGCUGCACCAGAUCAGACUGUCAGUUCAGGUUGCCUGACACUGUCUUCAGAUAUGGCCUGAGCUUGAUAAUUUAUAAAGAAAUCAGGAAUGUUUCUUCGUAACAUUGCAAAUAAUGUAUAAUACUUCUUAGGUUCACUAUCAUUUGUUUGCACGUGAUUCUUGCCAGUCAGGCAUGGAACUCAGAGGGUCUUAAGGCUUCUAAUUAUUUCUUAUUUCAGGGUUUUUUUUAAAUUUAUCAUUUAUAUUUGAAUAUAUAUUUAUUUGAGUGUUUUAAAUCUACAACCUGAAUUUCCCGUGCAGUUUUACUGCCCCCAAAAGCAGUAGCCAGCUGUGCUCUGCCUUCAGUAAUACGGGAAUUGAAACGCCUCGAUAGGAAGUUUGAGGUUGGAUCACUGAAAUAAGUUUUGCCUGUGGCUGUUGCGGAAAAUUCCAUGUGGAUGUGCAAGCUUAUCGUCUGAUCUUCCAAGAUGCUGGUGAGUCUAGCGCUAGCCAGAGUGGCUAGCAUGUGUGCAAGAUCUUAGUCCAGGCUGGAAGGUUUAGUCCUUUGACUAAAAUCAUUGCAGCUGUUUCUGAUUGCUCUUGUUUUACCAUCACAUAGCUGAAAAUGAUUCAAUUUUAAAAUACAAGUGUCCAACAAAUAGCCUGCGAGAUGAUCUAAUCUCUUCUGCUAUGUUUUUCUGAUUCUUUUUAGAAGGGUUUCAAUACUGAAAAGGCGAAACUCCUCUCUGACAGGUAUUUGGCGCAGAUUCCCAUCAGCUAACUGGGACCAUCUAACCUACGAUGCCUAAGGGUCCUAAGGGUGCUCACCCAGCAUUAGCUGGGCUGACAGCUGGGCUGCUGCAGAUCCAAGCUGAUAGUCUCUCUUCCUCCUCUUGCCAGUCAGGAUGCAACAGGUACUUUUAGAGAGCAGUUCAGCCCCUCCUAAAAUAGGUGGGAAGAUUGUCUCCCACAGGUGCCUGUUUUGUCUCUGACUGUAAGAGGAGCCUGAAGAGCUGGCAUGAGCUGGAAACCUGACUUCUGGUGGCUUGGCUACCUGAGGUGAGUGCCACGCCGGUUAGCUUCGUUGUUCCCUUGGCUUCUGCUCAAGAUAGAGGAAAGACAGUCUCUUCCACAGGGUUUUUCAGUUCACCUGGGAGCUGAAUCUGCCCGUGGAAAGUGCUGGUUUUGCUUUGAAAUGGGCACCUCAGAGAGACAGUGUUAGGAUUAAACCAGUUUGUCUUCCUGCAGUCUUAUUCUGGAGGGAGAGAGGACUUCUUGCAGAGCCCCGGACCUCCGCCAGUUCACUAGAAAUCUCUCUCCGGGACCUGUUACUCUUCCGAAUAAGGCAGUCUGCAAGUGUUACCAUCUAUGGGACACAAAUGCCUUUCCAAAAGCUUUUGACAUACCAAGCUGGUUUUCUUCAUGAAGUGAAAGUAUGUGCUGUAUUGAUUAGAAAUAGUCUGCUGCGACAGCCGAACAUGGGCACUCAUGCCUGUAGACUUAACAAAGCGGGCUGCUUUUAUUUUGAAAACUAAAAGAAAUAAUAAAUUGUCGCUUGCCAACACAUCGCUCCGUAAAGGUGGCCUGGCUCGUGUUAAUCCUAGUCAUAUUAACACAAGCUAGAAGUAUGUGCCACCAUGUUCUGAUGUACAGAUGAAUCUGUUCAUCUCAUUCAGUUGCCCUCAAAGGUUGGCCAGUAAGGUCAAGCUGCUGUGCUAACCUGUUACUUCAGUUCCUCCUCAGCUGGUCCCGCUUUGGUCAGAAGGACACUCGUGGGAUGGACUCACUGAUCUGGAGCAGAGAAGCGUGACCCUGGAACACAAGGUAGCCAGAGGCUGGUGGUUAAAACAGGAAACUAAUGUAAUCUGCUUAUCAUUGACAGGGCACAGCAAUUUAUCAUCCUUCCAAAGUGAAAGCCUUGCUCAGUACAGAGGGAUGGGCUGAAGUUCCAUGGCCGAGGACGCUUAGGACACGCAAGUGUUCAGGAUUGCAUGAGCUAAUUAAUCAGCCUGCAAGAAACACUCAGAUGCUACAGCGAUAUAAAUUGAGCUGGCCAGGAAACUCUUCUCAUGUCUUUCAACUUUAUUGCACAUCAAGAUAAAGCAAUCUUUCGAAGGUUGUUUGGUGGAUUGGUAAUUGAAACAAAUACAUCCACAGAACAUCAUUUUGGUGAUUUGAAGAACAAAGAAGCAACGACCUUUUGUCUGCUGCUGUCAUUCCCUGCUUCACCAUUAAGGUACCUCCUCUGUUUUGACCUUGUCAUCACAUCAUUUCAGGUGAAGUCCAUUAGUGUUUGUAUUGUGGGAAAUGGUGAGUAACUGUUCUUUUGUUGCCUCUCCAUAUCCGUCACAACCCUACAUAUCACUGUUAUUGCUCAGUUAGAGUCUUCAUCUGCUUAACCUCUCCUUCCUCAAAAAUCAUCUCCUACUUUUAAGCAUCUUUGCGCAUUAUAUCACCCGAUUUGCAGCCCAGACAGGGGAGCAAGCAUGGAGCAAGUGCUGUGCUAUGCUGUGGUCCUCCGGCAUAUGCUGAGCUCGCCUCGGCCAUGGGCAGUUCCCUGACAUCUGGAGGGAGCAGGCAGCUCCUCCCAGCCCCUACUCUGCAGAAGUGCCCAAACUUCCGAAAUACUGACGUGCCAGGGGAAGGCAGGCAGGGACAAACUUUGUACGAUGGUGUGCCACGGGGCCAGCUCACCGGGAAAGUCAGCGUGCCUUGCCUGAGGCUGGGCAUAAACUUCUCCUUCCUCCUGGCAGGAGCACAGCUGUGAGAGGACAGGAGCCCCGGAGCAGAGCCCGGUGCCAGCUGUGUGCCCGGGAUGUGCUGGGGUGUGCUGCUGCCUGCGACUGCCCCAGCCCAGCGUGCCCUGGAGCUGGCUGCACUCCGUGUUCGGCUGCGGGUCCCUGUCCCACGCAUGCACUGUCCCAUGUGCCCACCACCCUGCUAUGGGGCCAUUCAUUCUCACCCAAGAGCCUUAAUGAACUAAUUACGUUCUAACUGUUGGGAUUUUUUAAAGGAAGGUGAGUGCUCACAGAUCAUCUCCCCAGCUAGGCAGAGUUCAACAGAGAGAGAGUUGUGUUGGGUUUCGUUGAGAAAUGCGAGUGAGAGCACGCUGCAGUUAUGUUCCCAGCCCAGCCUUGUUAUUUUUUAUGGUUCCCAUCCCCAGCAGAGGACAAUGGCUUCUGUUGCUCUUAACAGGGAAGCUGGUGUUUGACAGUACACUCCCAACAAUUCUGUUUUGUUUUUCUGUUUGGGUUUUUAUUUUACCGUUGAAGUUAGGAUUUUAGAUCUUUUUUGGUGGUGGUGGUGGUGUGUUUGUUUUUUUUUAAAUUGCUUCUUCCCCUCCUCCACACUUCAUUCUUUUGGCACAGGGCUGCCACUCACCAGCUGUUCACAAUUCCUUCACCCCUUCUGUUUUUCAGUACCACACUGCAUAGACUCAAAGGACAUUUUCUUCCUUGCAGAAGGCUUCCCAUGGCCAUUGAAUACAUUUAAUAAAAACAAUUUUCUCUCUCUUUCCUACCUUGGAGGAAAGUUAUUACAUCUGUACUCCUCACAUAAUUCAGACUGGCAAAUCUGUCACCCUCAAAUUGUGCGAGUUUUAUUUCUUGACUAGUUUUAGAUUCUAGGGUGACUGAUCUUCCUCCCUCCAUUACAGAGCAAGCUCAGCCACAGAGUGGGUGCUCCAUAAUUGCUAUCCAACAAACAAUUCACUCAUCAACUCUUAAAUCUGGUCUCCACUCCCUUACCGUUUCCAUUCUGGUUUUUGUAACCGGAUUUUUCUCCUAAGCUGAAACUUGACCAAAGAGCAGCACAUUCCCACACAUCAGCAAAUGGUACCCAAAAGAAAGAAAGUGGAAUGACAUUAUGAAGCUGUCGGUUACAGCAGAGUCAUCUGCUGAAGGAGGGAGAAUAGCUGUCGCUCAGUGAGGUGCAGAGCAUGGCAGCUCCCACUGCUGCUAAUGGGAGAACAGACUGCUGAGCUCCUCUCAGGAAGGUACUGUUUUAAUUUCUAAUUGAGUUAUUUGUUCACUUGUUAAAGAACUCCUCUCUUAAGGCAGUGACUUGCAAAUACAAUAAUAGUGGCCGCAUGCAGCCACCAGGGAAUUCAUUGCAGCCACAAGACAAAAACUUGCUCUGAUUGUUCAGUUCUGUUUUGACUUAAACUGUCAAAACUGUGGCCACCGUUAAUUUACUGUGAUGGCAUGUGUCACAGCUGCUUGUCUGAGAGUCACUGGUUAGUCCUGUCUCUCUUCCAGGCACUUGAGGCAGGAGUUUCCAAGCUGCAGUCUAAGGGACCAGGUCAAGUAGUCUGCAAAGCCAUACUAACAUCGCAUAUUGGCAUUGUCUCUCUAAUGUUUCACUUGAAAGUGCUUUGACAGGGAGUGUGACAGGCUGCAGGAAGCACCAGGGUGCUCCGUGACUCCAGAGGAAAUGGGGAUCAUCAAACUGACAGGUCCAGUUUGGUCUCUGAGCACAUCUCUGCCAGUCUCCACUCCCAGGUGACCAGUGCGUUCUGCUGACCAGGCUCCCUGUCACUGGCUUGCAUCUUCCAUAUCCAUCUUUGCCUAGGGAGCAACCUUACAGGCAUCAAAACAACCCCAAAACCUGUUUUUCUAAGGAACUGGCCAUGUCAGACUCUGUGCGUAAAAAGUAAAAGACCCCUCCAAAAGCUCCUAAUCCAAGAGCCUCUCGCAGCCUGAUUGACUCAAAACCAAUCCCCUCCAAAAAAGAUCCUACUGAUGAGGUGGGUUCUCUUUCAUUGCUGGUAGACAAGGACAAAAUCAAACACAUCAAACAUGCUUAGUUUCCAAAGGCAAAGUGGCAAAAUGUCGUGCAAAAGUAAUAUAUCUUUGCAUUACUUUUACUACUUUUACUACCUUCUUUUCUUGUCUUUUCAUUUGGUCCUUACUCAGCUUCUGGAGGAGCCACUGUGCAGGGAGAAUCACGAGCAGAUUUCUGUGGUAGGAAGUAAAGGAUAAAAUCUUCUCUGUUUUAUGGCACAACGUACUAUACCGUUCCCUUACCAUAAAACUUUUUAUGAGGAUACUGUUCCUCAUAUGAAACAGUUUUCUUUCCUGUAAAUGAUCAGCUUUGUAUUAUUUUUUUAUUAUUUUUCAACAUAACAUCAAACCCCUUGUUUUAACACCCUCCCCCUAAAGCCCAGCUUUAUAGAAGUAUUUGCUUGUAUAGCUUAGGGUGGUACUUGCAUGUGGUUCAAGGCUUGCAAAAAGUAACAAAAAAGAGCAAGAGAAACUCGGGUGCUUUAGCUUUAAGGAAAACCAUUGACUAUGGGCAAAUAUGAGUAAUAUCCUAACUGUGAGAUAAGAAGGUAUUGAUUUGCUAUUGGUGGACUAUAUUAGAACUGCUUGCAGAAGGUAAAUAGGGGACAUGUGAAAUUCCUGAGAUAUGACCAAGCAGCUGGUUAGAAAUACUACUUACAAAAUACUGCAGCCCAGGCAGAGCGGAGGCAUCCAGGAUAAGCUGAGCAACUGCUGACUAAGGGAAGUCAACAACAACCCAGGCGGGUCAAGAGCAGCGGUGGGGAGCAGACUGUGCUCCUGGGUUUGGGUCUCCCAGUGGGAAGCUGGGUUAGACUCCCUGUAGCCCUGCAGAAGAGGUGACAACUUCAGGACUGGUGAAACCUGGAUAAGGAGACACCACAGGCUGGCAUAUGAGUUGCUUUGUUUUAGGAAGAGAGUUUGAUCUUUCUGGCUCGUGAGCCCUUUCAGUAUUUGGAGAGACAGUCCAGGUAUGUGUGCACAUCUGUAGGACAUGUGCAGGGGGCUGGGUGUGCUCUCCGUGGCCAGAUCCGUGGUGUAGUGUCAGUCAGUACGACUGUUGCUGCUUGAACCUCUGUUUGUCUUCUCCACAAACGCUAGGGAGUCUCCAGGGUUGUGUGUGGUGAAGGUACCUGGGUCUGCAGCAUCUGCCAUGGCUGGUGGAGGUCACUGUUGUGCCUAUAAGGAUGAGAAUGCUCAUGGCUCACCUGAACAAAUCUCCUGGGGAAAAGAGGUGCUGUGUCCAUGGUAGAUGCCCUUGUUUGCUGGUGAUGGAGGAACACGCUGCUUGCACCAGGCUGCUGUGCCUGUCCCCAGCUGCUGACAGAGCCCCUUGUCUGCUGCCUCUGGUUCAUCUCGAGUGGGUGGUACAUGUGAUCAAAAUACACAGGUGGUGUAAAUCCCUGGAAGCCUUACUUACUGCUCCCUGACGUGUAGAGGCUGUGUUCAGGAAGCUGCCUGUGGGCAGCUGGGCCUGAAAGCCCAGACCCUUCCCAGGAUGGGGGAGGCAGUCCUUCCCUCUCCUUCCCUCUCUCAAGUGAAAAAAAAAAUAUAUAUGGGGCUUACUCUUGUUAAGGUUCCUUCUGGCAAGGGAAAUUUAGGAGCUUCUAAGAUAAGGCAGAAGCUAUGUAUGUGUUUUGGGUUUCUUUGUUUUCCAGUCGUUACUUUGGGAUUUUUUUAACACAGGUGCCUGCUUUGCCAAAGUCAAAACCUCUUCCAGUUCACAUCCCUCCUCCACCUCAAACACAAUGUAAUAAAACAGUGCUGGCUCAAAAUACCUGUGCCAUACUCCCUCAAACGCCACUAAGAACCCAUGUCUUCUGUGGCAAGUGACUUCCAAGGCUGAGACAUACACCUGUUUUGCAGGACACUGUGGGCUAAUAUUUGACAGGCGGGUGUACCCGUGGCACAGAGCUGCAAGGUCAGAGUAUGAAUCUUCAACUAAGCAAGUUCACCUUUAUCCACAACAGCUCCUGCUUUCAGCAGUGAAGGCAGUUCACAUACAGUGAAACUGCUGAAGAAAACCCAAAACCCAGGGUUUUUUGUCCCCCUAAUAAAUCUUAAGUUUGAAAAUGCACCAAGCCAACAGUGGCAUGAGGGCAGAGAGCAGCAGCACAUGAAUGCAAUACAGGCAGCUCUCAAUUGUGAAAUGAUUUGGAGGACAAAAGUCUUCUCUUUCAAGAAGGAUGAAGGUUUCUGACAUCUUAAGCCCAAAUCUGAUUUGACUUCAUCUGUUUCAUCACAAUUUUUUUUUUCCCCCACUUAUUUCUAGCACAUAUAGGAUGUGUGGAUUAGAAGAGACAGCUGGACUGGAGGAACCAAGCUGCAAAGUAUCCACGUCCGCUAACACCAAGCACAAGGGAGAGGCAUGUCUGCCUGUUUCUGAGCUCAUCCUAAAUCCCUCGCUCCCCGAGAAGUGCCGGGUGCUCAUGGGUGACACUGGGCUCCCUGCAGGUGAGGAGGAUGUUGGGGUGCAGGGCCAGGUCUGCUGACUUCUCACUGGUGGGAGGUCUGUGGUGACCCUGCCCUUCCAUGAGGGGGGGAGCUGGGGUGCAGCCUAGUGAACCCGUAGCAGCGCGCCAGUGUUCUGUGCUUGUGUAGCAUGUCCGAUACGAUCAGCUUUGUUUUCGAGUGCUGCUGUGGAGAUUUGCCAUGAACUUCUUCAUCGCGUCGUCAUGCUGUCCUCCUCCCCUCCCUGCCCUCCACCCCUUUAUCGGUGCCCCCUCCACCUUCCCCCUGCUCGAUCGCACUCAACAAGACAGUCUGAGUUUUCCAUAUCUACUUUUUUUUUUCCUUCUUCUUUUUUUUCUUUCCCCCCCUCUUUUGUCUUCUGGUAACAGUGUUUGGCAUUUCCCGGACAGCCCAUACUCCAUAAGGCCUCAGUGUCUGAAUACGAGGACGGCUUGAACGUUGCCUGCUGAGACUGAAGAAGAACUUGAGUUAAAAUAAUCCUCUCUUUUGUUCCGCUUGGGUUGCUUUUUGUUUGCCUGACAGAUGUUCGGCCCCUGUGCAUGUGCAUGGAGCAGCUCCUCCGCCGGGCCCUCUGAUCCGCCAGCUUAUUGAUUUCUGCCUAUCUGUGCGGCUUGUCUCCAGCCCUUACAGAUGCGAGGGUUGCGGCCGGGCGGCAGCCCCUCUCCUUUGCACACAAAUAGGGCCAUCUAUUGUGAGAGCCUUGCUCCCUCUUGAGCCGUUGUGACGAACUCAGGCCGUUUCGGGGGGCAGAGGGGAGAUGCGCAUCGAGCACUGAGACGCUGCGCUGUGUUUUGACGCAUCGUGACACGCUGUCGUGUGGGUGCCCGCGUCAACAGGAAGGCAGAGGCUGUGGGCAGAAAGGUCUCAGAGCCUUGCACUGUGCCUCAGUGUUAUCUCAAGUUCAUAUUUCAGUCACUUGACUGGUGGACAUAGGGAUCAAAGUUGUCACCAAGGAAAGCCUUGUACGCUGCGGUACUUGCCAUCGCCCGGCUCCUCCUCUGCAGCGUUGAGUUUCACUGAAUGGCCUCACCACGCAGUCACUGCAACUGGGGUUUUCAUCUUGCAAUUCACGGCCUUGCAAGCCACUUGUAAUGGUUCUCUUCUGUCUUGCUUUUUUUUUUUUGGUUUUGGCUUGAUUUUCUGCCUCCUGAGUAGUGGUGCAAAGACUGUCAGCAGAAAGGUGUCAGGGUGCUCUGCGAGGGAGGCACGCUGCAGACCUGCACCCACGUUUUGGCAUACAGUUGGAGGCUCACUUUGCUGUUGACAGCAGUUUAGCUUUUAUUUAACCCCUGACAUAUGUCUGCAGAGGUCUGACCCGCCACUGGCUCUGCUGCUCUGGAUGGAGUGUGGAAAUCGAGGUGCUUAUUUCAGUGCACUCAGCUGUCUCCCAUGCCCAUGCCCCUCGGAAGCAGUCACUGCGCGCACUGCCCACUGCAUCCCUCUCAUGGCGCCUGCAAUGCACACACAGAGUGAACGUGCUCUCAGGGCACAUCCCCUUCUCUGGGGCUGGGAUGAGGGCUCUAAGGGCAGCUCUGGGGGGUGAAGCUCCCACCCUGCCAACGCAUUACAUGCCUUGCACCUACGGCGAGCUCGCUGUCUGCAGACCAACUUUUCUGCCCCGUGCCACGUUGCCCUGCCUUCCCUCCCUCGCCCUGAAGCCUAUCACAUCUUGCUGUGCCUGCCGGAGCCUCUGGAUCUAUGACCACGCGAUGGCUACGAGUGGGAUGUCCUUUGAUUUCACUGAUGCUACUAGGCACUAAGCCGUCAUUUAAUGCCACAGUAGUUGGGCACCAGUUUAUUGAAAACUAGCUAGCAAUGUGUUAAUGACCUGUUGCUCGACAGGACUUUCAACCCACAAAAACAAAUACGGCCACGUUUGCAGGGCUGCAGAGUUCAUCUGUUCUCCUCCUGAAGUGAUGCUCUUUGCUUGCGAGGGUUGGGGUAGCUCGAUUUGGACUUGUUAAGGCAAAGCUCCCACUGACAUGUUGUAGUCUGUUGGAUCUUCCUGAGAGGCUGUCGGAGCUGGCAGCGCUGCUUCACAUGGUGUCAAGUGAUUUAUACUGACAUGAAAAGCAGGCAGGGAGUUUGCAGCCUGUGGUGGCCCGCGUUGCAGCUCCAGCUACGUUACUGUUACUGGAUCUGAGACUGAAACCACAGUGUGGUGCCUCCCAGUCCUCAGUGGAAUCUUCCCACCAACAGCCUACUGGGACAGGGCUCAGUCAGGGCUGAUGGUGAAGGAGGUGUCUGUGUAAUAAGUCUUUGAGUAAUGACUAGCAGUAGGCUGGGAACAGAGACUUGGACAGCAUCUGUAGGGCAGAGCAGAUGUUCCACACAGCCGUGUGAGCCCCCGCUGCCUGCAUCUCUCUCUGUGUACUACAGCAGCACCGUAGGGGUCUCCUUUGCUCUUGUGGGUGAGAUGAACAAAUAAAUGCUCCUCUCGGCAUCAGCUCAGGUCUUGAGAUUUCCUUCAGUGAUGUGUUAGUCAUGCAGUUCAAGUGGCGUGUGUUUAUGGGCCUUUAAUUUAGGGAAAGUCACAUUGACAAACCACGGCAGUAUCAGUAGCCAGCAACUUUCAAUACUCUCCUUUGUUACUUUUUGAUCCUUCUUGACCCAUACGUAAAAAUGAAGAAAAGGGGCUAAUUCGGAAAGAAAAAGCUGUGAAAAAUGCUUCCUGGUUUGACAAGUCGGGCCUUGCCAAGCCUGCUGGACCUUCAUUUUGGCUUCACUUUUGGUCAACAGGAGAGCAUUGUAACUGCUGAGAAUCACUCAACACGCACUCUGCAAAGGGAAUUUUGUCCUGGGAGUGUCACCCAGACACUCCAUUAGCUGGCUCGUGGCUUGAUGACAUUUAAGGUGUUGGGCUUAACCUGCUGAAAACAAGUGAUUUGGGGCUGAGGGUUCACAGAGCUUGCCUGUAGUAGCAAGCUGCGGGCAUGGCCAGAUUCCUAGUACAAACCAGGAGGGAGAGCAGGUGAUGUGUGAACGAUUCCCAACUGGAAGAUGAAGAUCCAUUGAUCAUCUGAAGUCAGGGCGUGGGGUGAUAAAAACUGCCUCGAGCUUUUGGGUAGGAAAUGCCUUGUGGGUGUGGGAGGAUCUGUGAAUACAGUCCUGUACGCCAGUCAGUAUCUGUAGGAUAACAUAAUGCACCACCUGGCACCAGCGAUUCUGUACACGUGUAUUUUUGCAAAGGCCACCUUAGACCUGUAGGCACUGUUAGACCAAUACGGUGGGGGGUAUGUAAAGCAGUUAUAUUCCAUAGAUGGUACCUGAAACCCAAGCUGUGCCCAUGCUGAGUGUUAGAAAGGGAAUAUCAGUAUUUAGAUUAAUUCCUUUGACUGGUCUUUCUGCCUUUACUUUCACAGCUCUUCCCCGUGCUCUGCACAGCCUGUGGGUGAUGUUGUUGUUUGCAGGGCUGUGUGCGAGCUAUUCGGUGACUUUUCUUUUAAAGCGGUUCUUUGAAAUGCUGCUGCUUCUGUAAUGGGGUUUGAGCACGGCUGCGUCACUGUUGUGAUGGUCUGUCAAGCCAUCUAAUUGGGUUGUCUCAUUAAAACUUACAAUCAGCGCUUACAAGGCAGCAAUCCUGUAGUCCAACACCGUAGCUAGAGCCACACUGGCUGACCAAGCGCCUGCAUGUGAUUUGCGAUGUGGAUGCAGAGGUCAGCAGGAAACUGUGUCUCUUGUGAACCCGUUCCACAGCUUCUAAGAUGAAGCUUGAACGUAUCAGACCACCUCUGACUUGACCUGCUCUGAAACGAGACCGUAGCUGGAGCAAUUCAGUUAAAAUCAAGAAACAGGUGGUUUUCAGUCUCCAGUUCAGAGUCAAGACUACUUCUGGGAUCUCGAACUGGACACUCAAGGGCCAUCCACUCGUCUCUGUUGGAUAGCUCAGCCUCAGUAUUCUUUUUGUUAGCAAGAACGUGAGGAGGAAAUGGUGCAAGAAGAGGGCAGAUUUGUGUAGUCUCUAAUAGAAACUAAAUUCUUGGAGUAGCUCCAAAAUGCAUUUUGGCUUUGAGUGGAAACAGUUUAUGAAAAAAACCUCUAUCUCUGCAGGUCAAAAUAUUAGUUAAGCCACUGCAAGUGCCUUCUCUUGAGAAGUCUAUUUCUUGCAUUGUUUUAAUCUGAGCCAACUAGGCAAAAGGACCUCACUUAUUUCACGAGUCUGAUUCAGUGUCCUUUUUUAAUUUUAACCGCAAUGAUGACUUCUAGCACCACAGUUAAAUUUACCUAGGAGCAUGAAUUGGAGCUCAGAGCUCCAUGUUUGUGGAGACAGUAAAAAUCAGUACAGCUUUUCUGCCAACAAUGGGCUUAAACUAAAAGAGGGGUUUAAACUAAACUGACAUAAAGCUCUCUUAACUGUUUGUGCAAGGAUUUUAUGGGUUAAAUUAGGCAUGUGAACACCUGCACAUAGAUGCUGCUUUGGCCACUGUGACUCCCCAGCUUCUCAGAGAAGAGCAUCUUGGCUGCUUGGUGCUUCACUGAGUUUGAUGGAGAGUGUCCCUUUGAUAAAGAAAUAUCUUAACAGAGGUGAAGGGCACUAUAGCCCCUGACUUCAAAGGCUGUAGAGACAAACAAAACACACUUGAUGGUUUAGAUGUAACAGCCUGCACUGAAGCAAGGUUUUCCUUCCCCUACCUGGCACAGAGAUCCCCACAUUGGACUUGUACAAGAAAAACCUAAGUGUCACCAUUGGCAACUUGUUUGGUCGUGGUUUUUAAAGAGCAGUUUAAUGUAAAAGUCCCACUAAGUACCAGCUGAAAACACUUUGCAUCACCCUUCAAAAUGUUUUUACUUCAAAUUUUGUGGGUUAGCUCAGGGUGAGCACUUCUCUUGGCUUUUGUGAAAAGCCAAAAAAACCCAGAGUUUGUGGCUUAUUUUAAAUCAUAGUAUGAAAACACACUGCACGGCUCUUCCAAAGACAAAUUAUCGUUCAUUUUCAAAAAUCCCAUCUAAUUGUCAUUAAUCAAGCCAUCCCCUGUGCUAAUAAGAUGGAGGCAGGGAAUGGAAUGCCAUUCCAGCUCAGGCAGCUGUUGCACAUGUCAACCAGUUUCAAAACGUUUGGCAAAAGUUGUAAAUGCAGUUCUAAUGAGAUCGACUUGUCUGCAACUAGCAAACAAAUACCAGCCGCACCAAAAUGUUUGUUUGCCAUGGGACUUAAUGGAGAUUGUGUUAACCAUUCUGCAUUCAAGGGUACAUGUCAAGAAAAGUUCAGAUCAAGCAUAAAGCAGUGACACUGGAAUGCAGCUUUCUCCAAAACGGUUGCUUGUAUAAAAUCUGAGGAAAAGCCUUCCCCUUCUCUUCCCCCCCUGACCCCAGGUCUCUUAACUUUCUGGUAUCUCAGUGCAUGACAUUCUUUGCAAAGGCUGCACAAGCAAGCUACAAACAGAAGUAUGUUUUCUACUGGGACGUUUGAGGAUAGGCUCCUGGUAGGGGACAGACUCCUGAAGCCACUCUACAGCAUCUCUCACCUCCCAGGUGCCCCCAGCUGGGUACAGCUCCGUCAGCAGCCCAGGUGGGUCAUGGAGAAGAAGAGGCACUCAGCUGGGCUACCCAGGGUCUCCAGUAUGAGAGUAUAACAUUGAAAGACCGAUCAACAGCUUGAUCAUCCACCAGGCCUGACAGCCAAGCUGAUUGCAGCCAGCUUUCACAGCGCCUGGUCGUAAACCCUGUUCAGCUAAGCCACCUCGGUGGGCCAGGCACUGCAGGAUGUCAUGCACCCACACCUGGGUGGCCACCUAGGUGAAUCAGCACAUCCGUGACUUCUUGUAGAACCACCAAGGAGAUCACCAAACUUGUGUGGCUGGAGAAAGGUAAGUAAUGGAAAUACCUAAAAGAGAAGUCAGGUCUCAGGUAAGCCAAAAGCACUUUACCCCAGCUAUGAAGUAUCUCUAACACUGUGGUACAGCUUGCAAUCUUCCACAUCUUGUUCUUCUUCCUCAGCAAAAAUGGGAAUCCUGUUUUUUAACUCCUGUUUUAUGGUUCUUUGAUCUAAAGUGCAAAGGACUGGUUGAAUUUUUGGUACCAUGACUACUUUCUUGCCAGCACCCCUUUAAUGUGUGUCUUGUGCCAAAGAAUAUUAAUUAUUGUAGGCUACAGUGAAGUCCAUCCCUACCCCCACUUGAGCCUCUGAAAUGAACAGUGAAGGAGAACGUUGCCAGCAACUGUUAGGAAAAGGGCCAAGAACAGCCUAACAGGAAAGAUACUGAGGAUUUUUUUGUUUGUUUUUCUGCUAAGCCAUGUUUUUGUAAUUAUGAAUACUUUGUUGAAAUUGCUGAGAAAAGGAAGCGCAUAUAAAAUGGUCCAUACAAUUAAACUAACUACAUAUUAGAGUUGAAAGGCUGCAAGGCUGGUCUCAACUCUGUUGCACUUACAUAGACAAAACCCGAUCUCAAAAGGAAUUUGGCUUGCGCAGGCAGAGCUGGAGACAAAUCUUAGUUAACUUCAGGCCCCUGUGCCAUAAUGUCUGGUUUACGACUGCCCCAAAUGGCCUGAAAGCAAAGGACAUUCACACUAAACAAAAGCAAUGUCUGAAAGAAAGAGAAAGAGGAAUUUGAAAGCUGCAUUUCCAAAUCCCUUCUACUCAAAAGCUGGCUCCUGACUCCCGAUCAGGAACUUUGAAGAACGCAGCAAUUACUUUAUGCUCCUAGAACUAUCUUCUACUAGACUGGAGAGAUCCAGGACUACUUUAUUUUGAUCAGAUUCACAUGAAUGCUGCUUUAAUCAUUCUCCACUUGCUCCUGCCACUUCUCCCCAAGCUUAGACUUGUAAAAUCCUGAAUCACUAAAUUGAGAUCACUCACCAAGGCAGCUUUCUCUUGCUUUCCAGGAUGGAUGAACCUGGGUUACCAAAAAAAAGUUUUUCAAGUGUGGGAAAUUACAGCUAUGUCCCCUAAUAUAUAAUGUAAAGAAGUAAGUUGCAGUAGGACCAAUUCAAACUGCUAUACCUCAAAUAGUGUUUUAUAAUUUCCAUUUAAACAGCGUUUUUAGGAAAUGGCAAUAAACCAGAAGCAUACUGCUCCUAACUCCCAUCACACUGAGACGUAUGUAGUGUUAGACAUAUCUCACUGUAAAAGGAAAAAUGUCAUCCUAGAGUGAGAAAGCUCAGUAUUUGGUUUAUAAAACAACAUUUUAUGAUUCAGCCUUAAGAAAGUCUUGGUUUUAGUUAAACGAAAAUUAAACUUAGCCUUGACUGAUACAGCAAAUGACUAAUAGUGAACUAAACUUUUAGAAGUAUAUGUGCAGUAUUUGUCCCAUCAAGCACUUUUAACUUUUCAUAGUAACAAGCCACCUUCACUGUACACAAAAUGGAUUUAAUGCAUAAACAAUACUGCUGAAAACAUGUCCAAAAAUAAAGCACAGUCUACUUUAUUACAAACUUAGUUUUUAAGGCCAAUUCUGACCUUGUACAGUCCUUAUAUAAGCAAAAGUAUGCUGCCAUUUGGCUGAAAUCAAAAUAAAGCCUCCCAUCUCCCCAGCAAACAGUUCCGCAAAGCACAUUAUAGUGGGAAACUGGUAAAGUAUGCAUGACUAUUUUUACCCACACCGUAAUUAUGUUGAAACCUGUGCUAGCAACUAACUAUUGCCAUCUUAAGGUGGCCCUUAGUAUUGCUGCAGAUGAAGUCGAGCUAGUUGUUGCCGCUACUGUGCAUCGCUCAUUAAAUACACUGUCACUCGCAAGUUCUUGAACAAGGUGGUUGAAGUGCUCGCUCCAAGACUAGCCCAAUGCUGCAGUACAGCUCUCUUUUGAAAGACAUACAUAACGGGUUUAACAUUAAGAAACGGCAUUGCAAGAUAAACAUUUUCCAUCUCCCUCCUUUCUCUUAACAUAAAAUUAUAUUGAAGACAUCUAAUCGCUGGCCAAGUAGAUCUGCCAAACCCAGGCCUCUGCUUCUAGCAACCCUAAGUGGUAUUGUUGCAUUUGUUUUCCUAGCCGUACCUCCGUAGCCUACCUGCCUAGACAGUUCUGUAACCAGAUAGUGCUCAAAGUGCUUCAUAAACUAUUAAUUUACAUUGUAGACAUGGUGCGAGAUGACUACUGACCUGAUUUAUACAUAGGAAGUACAAGCACAGAACUACGGAGAGUUGCAGGCAGUCAGGGCACUCCUGCCUUGCAGCCCUAGGCGAUGACGAUCUUCACAAAGCUAAGUAACUUGAUGGAUUAAUCAAAAAUCCUCUUGGUGCCUUUUAUCUAGAAGACACAUCUGUAAUUUUCAAACGUGUUUUAAUACUAAUGAGCAACCAACUUCUAGCUGAGCAGCCCGUGAACAUUUUUGUACUCACACAUCUUCUGCCAUUCCUGCAACUCCCAACUCUGAGCAUGAGUGGUGAUGAUAUCAGGGCAGGGCAUAACUGGGAAGUUAAAAACAAACUGGGAAACAAACGUUCCCAUGUCACUAGUCCCAAACCCAUCCACAGAGGGAGUGAAUGCAGUGCUACCUUCUUCUGUAGAAGAAAUUUGGUGGUUUGAGUCCAAUGGGCCUGUGAAAGAGUUUCCAUCCCCUGCUGGUUCUUCAGCCAGAUGUACUCUGCAGGGAAACGGAAAACUGAAAAGGAUAUAAAAUGGAUAUCUCAUCUGCACCAAGUGCUCCAGCAGGACAGCACUGACACACAGUGGCAGGAAAACUUGCAUCCCCUGUACCUGCUGUUGUAUCUCCUCUGAGAUUGCAAAUGAGACCUGAACGCUCUAAUCACCUCAUAUUUCUCCUAAACCACGUACAGAGACAAGCCUGGACACCUCAAACUAAAACAAGUUAUUCCUAAAGUCUGUCAGGCAUUCAUUUAUCUUGGAUGUAAAACUUUACCCUUAAAUACAACAGCAUGCUAAUUUAUCAAAAUUUUUUUUAAUUGAAUCACUGCAGUUCCUCUGCAUCUACACAUCUGCAUCCUGUGAGAACAUUAUAUUAAUGCAGGUACACAUUAGUGCCCUUGUUUGUUGCCCUUCCCUUCACUGUUUAGAUCUUGCAUAUUGCAGACCUGUCCCCAAAGGCUUGUUACCCUCAGCUGCUUUUCUUUGCAACUUGUACACUAUUUAGUUUCACUAGAAUUCACCAACUUUGCAUAAAGCUGUUAACAAUCUACUGUGAAACACUUGAGCAAUUCAACACAAACAUGGUAUCAAAAAUAGCUCAGCUUCAAGUGCUUUAAUUAAAUUUCAUAGAAGUAGCAGAGCAUGUAUUUAAUUUAGUAUUGCCGAUGUGUACUUCAAACAGACGCAAGAAUUCCGUUCUUAAGAGUUAUUGCACUGUGGGCAGUUUGCUAAGUAUAGAACAGCAUAUAGCUACACAGUCACUUACACAACUAACCUUGUCCAUUUAAGAUGACUUUUGCAAAUAAUGUUAAACACCCCACUAAGUUACCUGAACAUGUCUGGAUGUUCUGACUUGUGUGACAAGUGACUUCAGCCCCAGUGUCAUUCAGACUGAGGGCUGUGCUGCUUUCUUACUGCCAGACCACCCAGGACAGAGGUGUUUGUUCCCUCCUUAUUUUGCCCAACAGUGGCACCCAGUGGGCAAGGGUUUUCAUGAACACUUUGGGAAACGGCUGCUGUUCCAAGUUCCCAUCCCGGAUCUCCUGAACUAAAGCUAAAGUCAGUUUAAAUGCACAAGCUGUUUGACUGCUGAGGUUCAAAACUACUAAUUAAACGGUCUAGAAGGCUUGAGACUACCAUCGCUGGUGAAGACUAGCCAGAGCUAAGAAAAACGCACAGCACCUGAAAUGCUGCACUGAAAGCAGUCAGCCACGUCCAAACAGGAGACAAGGUUGCUGUAAGGUCAAACACAUCAGUAAAAUUGUUUUUUACAAGAACAAGUAUGCCACCUAAAGCAAUGAGGUAUUUUAUGUGUCCUUUUCUAAAUAGCUGCAGAAUAUGAAAGGAUUUCUGGGCAAUAAAAGAUUAUUUUGCCCUUGAUGACGCAGCUCUGCUUUUCUAAAGGUCCUAGUACUCAAGCCAAGUGGCGUGCGAUAGGGCACAUCAGUCUACACUUGAUGCAAUACCCCAAGAACCAAAAGCAGUAGUAGAACUAACAAAGCCCGCAGACAUUAAAAGGCAUUCAGGAAUGUCCAUACUAAGUUAUUUUCUAUCAGUAACUAGAAAAGGAUGAUGCUUCAGAUUUUGAGCAUUAACUGAACAGAAACGUGUAGAGGUGAGCCCAGAUGCAGAGUCCAGGACUAAACUCUAAAGAUUCCAUUUAACAUUCUUCCCUCUUGUACAGAGAAAUUGUUUUCAGGUGACUCAUAUUUAUAGUCUCUGUAAAUAAGUACAGAGAGGUCAAAUGUCAGGAUAGCAUGUCAGAGAGAUAAAGGAGAUCGGAAAAGCAAGCUAUGAAGUGCAGAGAAGGCAGCACGUACAGAACAAGUGCUUUUCUCACUACAUCAAGGCUGAACUGAAAGCAUUAUCAAAAAAGUCUGUGAACCUAAAUUUUAGUAAGUUUAAACUCCCACAGUAUUGUAGCAGAAGGGAUUGUGAGAAGGGGAUUAAACUGAC